RNAcentral lists this ribosomal RNA (529 nucleotides) under Mycobacterium marinum. RNAcentral's name for it is "bacterial SSU rRNA". It matches the Rfam family "Bacterial small subunit ribosomal RNA", at positions 9 to 541 of the family's 1533-position model. The record is from RNAcentral. Lineage: Bacteria; Bacillati; Actinomycetota; Actinomycetes; Mycobacteriales; Mycobacteriaceae.
GAGUUUGAUCCUGGCUCAGGACGAACGCUGGCGGCGUGCUUAACACAUGCAAGUCGAACGGAAAGGUCUCUUCGGAGAUACUCGAGUGGCGAACGGGUGAGUAACACGUGGGCGAUCUGCCCUGCACUUCGGGAUAAGCCUGGGAAACUGGGUCUAAUACCGGAUAGGACCACGGGAUUCAUGUCCUGUGGUGGAAAGCUUUUGCGGUGUGGGAUGGGCCCGCGGCCUAUCAGCUUGUUGGUGGGGUAACGGCCUACCAAGGCGACGACGGGUAGCCGGCCUGAGAGGGUGUCCGGCCACACUGGGACUGAGAUACGGCCCAGACUCCUACGGGAGGCAGCAGUGGGGAAUAUUGCACAAUGGGCGCAAGCCUGAUGCAGCGACGCCGCGUGGGGGAUGACGGCCUUCGGGUUGUAAACCUCUUUCACCAUCGACGAAGGUUCGGGUUUUCUCGGAUUGACGGUAGGUGGAGAAGAAGCACCGGCCAACUACGUGCCAGCAGCCGCGGUAAUACGUAGGGUGCGAGCGU